Gallus gallus (chicken) is the source of this 22036-nucleotide long non-coding RNA. RefSeq lists it as uncharacterized. The transcript has 5 exons. The record is from RefSeq and is a predicted model, not a curated record. Lineage: Eukaryota; Metazoa; Chordata; Aves; Galliformes; Phasianidae.
GUGCCUUUGGGUUGCUGACUGGUACUGGCAAGCCAUGGUAAAGCACGGAGAGAAACGUGGGAUUUCUUUUUCCCUCGCAUCUGUGGGAAAAGCAAAGGGAAGAACUUGCAACGUGUGUCCAAGGCUUCUUCCAGAAGACCAGACCCUGGGCGGCGGCCCUUCUUGAAGGAGGACCUCUUGCACCCACUGCUGAACCCUGGUAAGCCCCCCUCAUGGACAGAGCCCACCUCUGCUCCCAAGGGCACCCAGAUUCGCACUACGUGACAGGGACACUCCCCUUCAAGCUGACAACAUCAAAUGACCUUAUCACUGUCUAAGGGAUUUAUUCACCCAAACUGUAAUAUAUUCUUAUUUAUCUUUAGUGAUUCCGUUGUUAUUCUUUGCUGAAUGCUGCCCAGUUUGCCAACGUCUUCUUUGGCAUGCGAGUGCCUGCAGUUGUUUUCUCUGUUCAGAGGUUUCUCCAAAUACGUUUCCUUGCAUUGCCCAUGUUCCAGGUGGGAGCUUUUUUGAUGCCGUUCUCCUUCUCAAUCCCCCAUCUCAGAAGGAUCAUUUAUGAGACUAAAGUCAUAACAAGAGCCCACAGCUCAGGCAUUCUUCCCUUCCUCAUUACUAAAUCCAAAACAAUCCUUUUGUAAAAAGAAAUGCUUUGCAGGUUCAUAUUCCUUCAGCCUGGGAAACAAUUCCUUCCCAUAUGCAGCUGUACUGAGCGCAGUGGUGAGGUGCACACAGCGGGCUGACAGGAGGACCUGGCUUCCCAGCCAGGGAAAGGCAGAGGCAUGGGGCCUCCAGGCAGCUCCUGUUGCAUUGCUCUAAGCAGGGGACUGGGAGCUGCUCCGAAGCUGCAGGAAAUGUCUGAUCCACCCAGUUUUCCUGUGGCUGCCAUGCUGAGUUUUCUCUUUUUGAGAUCUGAAUCCUUUAAAGCUUUGUUUGCAGAGGUGAAUGAAAAUGAGCUGGAGCCUACGGAGAGACCAGGAAGCCAUUUGGUGCAGAACAAUCAUAGAAAUCUGACAGUGAAUGCCAGCUUCUUUUUAACUGAAAAUAACACGUACAUUUAAAGAGCAGAACAUGCAUGUACAUUCACAAUGGCUGUUAUCAGCAGCUCUGGCACUUUCUCUGAGCAUUAAGCCCUGGUCCUGGAAAUUGUUGCUGCCCCUCAGGCUUCUGUCCAUCUCUGUGCAGCUCCCUGCAGCAUUUAAGCCCCAUUAAGUGCAUACAUUUUCUUUGGCUAUUCAACUCCAGCCACUUUUGGGAAGAAAUUGGCCAGAAUCCUUGAACCUAAAAUAAUCAAAUGUCUGUCUUUCCAUUGAAAAGGAUCCCAUUUAUCUGACAAGCAGUGCAAAAUGCAAUAGGUAACUCAGUGCAAGCAUUCUCCAAGAAACCUGUUGUUGCAAAACCAGGCAAGCGGUUUGCACAGAAGCAGAUAAGGUACAUUACGGAAGCCCAGGUUGUUGCACUGCAUGUCAAUAUAUCUGGUUUCAUAACGUGUGUGACUUUUAUUAUCAGGCUCUUGGUUUCUACCACUCUCUUUAGAAAUAUGCCACCACGAGCUGCUGCAUGGGGAGCGUGUCCUUUCAGAUGCUCCUUCUGCAAGUAUCUGUCAUGUGCCCAGAGAAAUGUCUUUGUUCCAGGGUUGUUCUGAGCAUGAGAAUUAAAAAUCAAACUGGAGAUGGUGGCCAGCACAAGGAACCAGCCAAAGUUAUUUUAAUGAAUAUCUUUCCAUACCUGCCAAUCCGCCCUUCCCUGCAGGAAAAACAACUCUCGAAUGAAUAGAGCAUAUGGCAAGGAAGAUAGAGCGCCCAUGCCAAGUUCGUCUUUGCCUUAGCAGAACUGGCUGCAAGAUGCUGAAUCUGCAGAUCUUCCCUUGGAACAUGCUCUUAGGGAGAAAAAGGAGGCACUUUCCCACUGCUGCUUUAGUCUGGCUCCUGCGGUCUCUCUGUUCAAGUCCUCAGUGUGCAGGACAUUGCUGUGGCUGUAGCUCCUGGACUCAGCUCGUUGCCCACCAGUGUCUGUGUCACUGGGAAUAUGGGAGCACCAUUGUAUUGUUGCUGCCUAGAAGUGAGGUGUUCAGCCCAAGUCCCUUCGCCAUGACUUGCUCUCCAGUCAGGAGGCAGCCACCUACCUCCACAGGUUAUUCACCUCAUCCUAAAAUAGGUGUGAGAGAUGCCUUCCUCUCUCCAUCAGAAACCUCUGGAUGCUGGCUUAGCCUGUGGCCAGCCCUCACGGCUUGGUCUGUCUGUGCACAGCAUGGCCAGCUCAGCCCCACCAGAGGAGGCUCAUGGGGGACGUGUUGGUGGUGCACUCUGGAGCAGCGUGGGUAUAUGGGACCUCACCACUCCUGCUCUGAAGGAUGUAACAUGUCAGAGGAACUGUAGUUUUGGUGCUCCACGGCAGUAUAUGUCUCUAGAGUUACAGCUGAGGUUUGAGCGGCUAAAUUUAGAAGUUAGGCAACCAAAACCCUUACUGGACCUACCUCUGCUGGGACUGAAGCUAUGGAAAUGUUUGUGCUGUUCUUUUUUCUAUAGACGGCCUCAGACUUGAGAGGAGAGGCCACUGCUUCACCUGAAUGCAUGCCAUGGAGGGACACUAUGGGCCAGGAGAGGGUUCUCCUCUCCCAGGACCUUCUCCAGCACUUUGUCCUGGAGGUGAAGUCCCCACAUAUCAGGAAGGCCUCUUGCUGUGGGCAGUGAGGUCUCUGUUUCCAGAGGCAAAGCGUACCCUGCAGGGUAACAAAAUUAAUGGCCUAGGGAGUUCCUUUGUUUAAAUGAAUGCUGGGAGAGGCAGCGGAGAAGGCUUGGAGUUUCACAUGGUUAAUGUUCCCUGUCCUCUUCCUAGUCCUCUCAUGGCAACCUGUGUACUUUGCAAUGCAAAGACACAUGAAUCUCUGCUCUACAGAAAUGUAAAUGUUUUGAUAAAACUGUUCUUAACAAGUUCGAUUCGUUUAAUCAGCUUGAUUAACUGCAGAGCUUUAUGCUCUUUAAUCAGGAAGGAUUCACUAUAAAUUAUCAUUUCUCGCAGUUCUGUGAAGAACACCGCAGUGCACGGGAUCCUGCUCCCUACCAGCAUGGGAGGUUUCCAUCUGGAGCACCCAGCCCUGCCCCUGCAGCCCCACACAUUUCAGAUCCCUGCAGACCUGUGGGGCACGUGCUGAGCUAUGGGUGGGAUGGCGGUGCAGCUGCAGGCUUCUUGAGAGACUCUCUUUCUUCUCUCUUGCUUCUGCAACUCCCCAGUGAUCAACCUCAUCUAGCAGCGUAAGCGCAGCUUGCCUCUUCUUCCAGCAAAAGCCCACAAUAAAGGAAGCACGAUUAUGCACCACAGUUCUCACCUUGCUGUGCCUCACAACCCGAACUGGGUUUUCAAGGACUGGCUGAACAAAAUUCCCAGGCUUACCAACAGCAAGAGUAAAAAGAAAGGUGUUGAUCAGAAAAUCUCAACUCAGGUCCACAUCACAAAUGUCUUUUUUUCUCUCUCUCACUUAGGAUGGCAGACCGACAGGCUGUAAAAUAAGUCCAGCUGGAAAGAAGAUCAUUUUGUUGUCUUCUGCCCAGCCUCAUUUUUCAGCACGGAAUGUCCAGUGGUGCACCUGUCUGAAACCUCCAAAGACCUGGAGAUUCCACGCAGCAAUGACUUUUUUAAAAAUAGGCAAUUUAUUGUCCAUGCUACAUUUCUCUGCACCUUUUAGUCAAUAUCCCAGACUAAAGAAACAAGCAGGAGAUUUAAAACAACUGAAAUCUCCCCUCAAAUUUAGAUUCUGCAGAGAGCUCCAGAGCAGCUGGAGCAUUUACAAAGUCUCUGCACCAGUGGGUUUGCUCUUCGCUCCGUGUGCGCUCGUCUCUCAUUGCACUGCCGUGCUGCAGAGACACUCCUCAGCAGCUCCCGGGGGGUUGUGAUCAGAAUGCAUGGGCUGAGCAGCACGGUUCUGCAGCUCUUGCCAGUCCCGGGCUUUUACUCCUGCCUGACUCUCAGGCGGAAUUGCCCAUGAGAUAAUUGCAUAUUUCAUAAGAGAGGAGUAGUUUUUAUCCUUUCCUCACAUUUCCAUGGCCAAGCCUCACUUAGCAUCUGUAAAAAUUUUCAUCCCCAGAACAUAAGCACUCACUUCUGAGGAAAGAUUCCCGUUGUCCAGUUUCCACUGGAACACUUCUCUCAGUUGGCUGGCCAACUUCCCACACCUUGGCUUAAUGGAGAACUCGUCAGGUGGAUCUCAGGCCCUCCAGUGCAAAAGCAGAGGAUGAAAAAAUACCCUCCGUUCAGCGUCCAAGCAGCAACUCACGGGCAGGAUCCGGGGCCCAGGGCAGACAAGGCCAGGGAGGGUGAACUUGGAAAAGGCAUGUGAGAUCCAUCUCUAGUGGUGCAGGAAAGCUAGCAGGAUGCUCGCCUGGCUCUGCGGCCAGAGUCCUUCCGCAUGCACUGCUUCCACAGGCGGGUGGUGCACGAGGAGACAUUCUGCACAGAGGAAGCCUGGUCUACCCUCACCUUUGACAUUUUUACACAGUAAAAAAAGCUCUUGGCUGUUUUCCGGAAGCUAGGAUUCAAUGUUUUUUUUCUUUUUUCUUUUUUCUUUUUUUUUUCCCCCACACAGACUAAACAGUCACGUCAUAUCCUGUCCAAGCAGUUGUUUCAAUAGCUGCCCUGACAGUGAAGGCACUUGGGCUUAAGUGGUGAAUCCUCUGUGACCAGAACUGUUCUUAAUGAAAGGUUACAUCUUUGUGAGGCCAAAAUGGUUGUUAUUCAGCUUUGGCUUUUGAUGGAGGCACUGCAAACGUUUCUGGAUUGGAUGUGAAAUGUUGUGCAAUUUCUAUAACACCACGGUAGAAAAUCUGUCCUUUUCGCAUUCAUAGACUAAAUAGCAAAACAGGAGUGGGAGGAUUAAAGCCUCAGUGGUUUCAUACACUCUGAAUUCAUUGGAGUUUUACAUCUCUAGCAAGGGGAAUAUUUGAAAGCAGAAGAAAUCAGAAUCAUGGAAUGGCUCGGGUUGAAAGGGACCUCAAACAUCAUUCAGUUUUGAACCCUUGCCAUGGGCAGGGUUGCCAACCACUAGUACAAGCACUAGAUCAGGUUGUCCAGGGCCCUGUUUAUCAUGGAUGUAUAAGAUGAAAUGGCUUCAGCUCGUGCUGCAGCAGUGCUGCAUGCGCUUGGGGUGGAGGAGACCGCAGCUCACUGCAGUCAGAGGAAAUGGAGAAAAGCUCAGUCCGGGCUCAGGAUGCAGCACAGUUCAGGCUGCUUUGAAACAGAAAUUCUUACAGUUGGUUGCUGGAUCCAGGGAGGACGCAGUAAGAUGUCACUGAUUACCUCCUGGAGAAGCCACAGAUGACUGAUGACUGUUAAAUCACUCUUGCAUCGUGAACGGCGCAUGGCGGUGGGACCUGCACCGGAGGCUGUUGCAUCACACAUCGUGGUUUCAGCAGAGCUUUGCAGAAAAAAAAAAAAAAUGAAAGUAAACUGUGUUAUUUUGAGCCUGAGCAGUGAGUGAGUUCUCAGUAUCUAAAUGAGAGCUUUUAGAGUCAGCUCCAGGUGUUGCAGGAAGUGGUGGAGGUGACUCAGUAAAUGUCACACUUCCCUCCAAGUCAGUUGUGCUGUCCAAAAAUAACACUCCAUGGGCAUCUGGCUGCUCAGCAUGGCCCUGCUGUUUUCGUGGCACUCAAAACAGUCCUGCUUGGCACUUCCCUGGUUUUGCACCACCUUCCCUGUCACAAGCGUUUGCCUUUAUCUUCCUGCCUUUGUUCUUCCCCAUAAAGCCAAAGACACGGCUAGUUAAGUUCUGUACAUCUCUGAAAACAAGCAUUAAUCCCUUUCAUCCUCAUUCCAUAGCUUUGAUGCAUUUUCUUAAAUAUUUAUGCCCCUUGCCUGACCACCGUUUCCUCUCCUGCUUCAGCUCAACACGUUUCUCACUGCAGCUGCCCUGCUGAAGCAUUGCUGAGGGCACUGACCACACACAGGCUUAAGCAGGCAGACAGCAGUGCAAUGGAAAAGAGAAACCUUUUGUAUCUGGCGGUGUGGGUUGUCCCAGGACAGCACCAGAUGGAAAGAGGAAAGGAGCCAGGAAUACAGAGAAGCCCCAAAGACUGUGUCAGGGUAGAAGAGAAAGUGUGAGCAUGUCAUCCCAAACCCUUCCUGCCAGCUUAGAAAACAUGAGUAGGCCCACAGCUGGAGAACUGUGUGUGUUGGAGCAUCAGGUUUUGGUGGGUGGGUCAGCUACAGGCUGAGAGUGCCAGGUCGGUGGAGGCGUCGGGAUCUUUGCUGUUCUUUAUGGACAAAUACCAUAAAUUUCUGCAACUGCUGCUUGGUUUGGAUUUUGUAAAUUGACGCUGCUUCGUCUGAGCCUUACUUGAGAAUGAUUCUUAUGACAGUCGUUUAACCACAGGGUAUCUGCUCCUAUGCCUGCAGUAAUGCUUCAGACCAGGUACUGCUGGCUCCUUAAAACUAACCCUUGUGCUCUCUUACCUGCAUGCUGGUGGUGAAACCACUCUGGAGCCCUGUAAUGGAAAUGCUAAGUCACAGCUGAAAGCAGUGAUUGAGCACCUGGUGGGAAGGCAGGGCCAACCCAGGGGAGCUCAGGUGCAUGUAAUGCAUCUGAGUGACCAGAAGGGAUGGAGCCAGGAUCCACCUCUUCCCAGACCUCAUUUAAGGGUUGGCAGGGAAGGCAAGAGUAUUUUGCUGGGGGCCCUGCAUUCCUGAAGCCUUCAAAGGUAUGGCAGCAUCUGCGCCCGGCCUUGUUGAUGGAAAGCCGGCGGCUCCGGGCGGUGUGAGCCACACUGCCGUCACCAAGCUAACCUCCCCAUGCCUCUCGCAGGCAGACAGAGACAGGGAGAGAAAAAAAUGUCCGGUGACGUCAAUGAAGACCACACUCUGUUGGAUAAUAUUACUGUGCGCCUCAACCGCCCACUCCCUUUAAUUUACUAGAAGCUAAGCAAGCUGUUUUGAAACCCAUAGCUUCCAGCAUGUUUGCGCCGCUCUCCCUCGACCGAAGGCUACUAAUUGUCAGGAGCUUGAAAGCUACCUGAUGCCUCGUUCAAAGCUCUGAAGCAGAGGGGAUUUCCAUGAGUAAUAAUUUCAGUCUGUGCCUGUGCAGCGCACCGUAGGCUAGAGUAAAUUGAUCCAGCUGCUUGCGAGGCUGGAUGGAAAAGUGCCCGGGGGGGCUGGAACGCAGCACCAGAUGGAGCUGGAUGUCGUCACGUGGGGCCCCCAGCUGCUGGGCAUGCUCCAGCCUGGCUCCCAGCAGCAGCUCGGCCUGCUGGGCUGCACCGGCUCGCAGCAUGCGGUUGGGUCACCAGCGUGUGUGUGUUGCAACAUCUUCUCUUGUAAUGAAGAGGAUAAUUUUGGAUUAGCCAGAACUGUCGUGGUCUUCUUUUGCUCAGCUGCAAUCUUCUCUGUGACAACGACUAAAAAAGCUCGCGAGAGGCCGGCUGCCUCCACAAAGAAGCAGAACUGGCAGGAUUAACCUGUAACCCGGGGCGGUGUACACACACGUCCCACCAGCCAGAUGGCAGAGUUCAAAGAUCCGCUCACUUCCUGGCUGAGGUUGCACAAGUUAAUUUUUAUCCUUGUUAAAAAGAAGUAAGAAGUGAAAACAUAGCAAUAAAAUGUGUGCUGCUUGCUAUCUCUGGUUUUAAUCACCCUUAUUUUAUUCCUUUGCAUUUUGCUAUUAAAUAGGUUUGGGGGAUGUUAGGAAAAGGCUUGCUUUUUUUCCUCUCUUCUGGAGAUGUUUAAAAUCCUGCUUAGCGUCUUUGUUAUUGUACUGGGGUAUUUGUGUGAUCAAUUCAAUUUAGUCCUUUGGCAAGGAGAGUGAAAUAAGAGGAACUAAUUAAAAUAGCAGGAAUGCAAUUCACCAUUUAUUUAUUUAUUUAUUUAUUUUCCAAAUGAGCAAUUCAAUUAGAGGCACAGCGAGAGCUGGCACCCUGGAUCUGGAGGCUCCUAAGUGGAGGCUCCCACAGGUCUGAGGCUGCUGCAGCUGGAGCCCUCUGGCCAGCAAUGUGGGGAGAGCACUGCACUCAGGCAGUGCUGCAGCACGGGGAUGUUGUGCCACCCAUGUUUGUACACAUGCUAGAGCAAAAGUCAGCAUAUCUAACCAUGAGGGCACUCUCGGUCCUUCUGUGGCUCUGAACAUCUGACUUUCCUUACCUCUGUUCUAAUUGUGACAAGAAAGCUGCAGAGCGUGAGGUUGUGAUAAGCACUGGUGUGUACUGCUAUCGUGUGGAUGUCAUGAUGUGUAAGCAAAGAAAUGUAGCAACAAGCAACUAACCCAUGUGGGCUGCCACCCUCCUCACGUUGCCUGCUGAGCAUGGGCAAAGCACGCCUUUGCGAGGGGAUCGGCCCUGUCACACAGAAUUUGCUGAUGCUGCAGCAUUUCCCUGCAGGGAUCAGGCUUGUGGCCAGGUGGAAGGUUUGCCUCCAGAGCACGUGGAACUGAGAAGGAUGCUCAGUGUCAGAGUUUCUGUGGAAUGGGUCAAUAAGCCCACCUCAGGUGAGGUGAGAGUGUCUUUCAUGGCCUGCCUGGGAAGCACUACUGAAUGUAAUGCAGCACUGACGCUCCCGUGAAUCGAUUUCUCAGAAUGCCAUGCCAAGCAGAUGAGAAGCCUUUGUCAGACAGUUUGGGUCAAGCCCGUCACCUGAUCCCUGACCUACAGCUUGUGGGAGCGGAGCGCAAUGGAUGAAGUCAUCAGUAAAGUGCAAAGGUCACGGGUCCUCGUGGGGAGAGGUGGUUGUGCAAGGAAAACAGCGUAUUCAAAAUAAAUCGUUAAAUCAAAGAUGCCAGCCCUGGGCACGUGUGUCUCUAUGCUGAGUCUGGUGCCUGUGCAGGAGCACAGCAGGGCACGGUGUGGCUGGGUGGCUGCAGGAGCUCUCACGCCAUGGGUUCGAAGUGUAUGGUCACUGCUCAGCAUCGGAGAAGUUAGUGUGCAGUGCUGUGUGCCUUUGCUUCCCUAACCUGGAGGACAAAAGCCUACAGUGGGAAGGAUUUUUCAAAGCAGUGCAGCAGGCAAGCAGAAAAAAGAAGGGAAUUGUGGUGUUGCAGCUAUUCGUUGCAUGUAAGCGAGAAUAGUUUUCUGCUUUCCCCUUCUGUAUCUCCAUGUUGAUUCCAAGAUUUGUGAGACGUUGGAUAGGCUGGAAAUUCUUGCCUUUGUGGUUUGGGCAAGAGAAGGAACAGGACUGUUCUGGCUAAGAAAGUUGGGAUAUGAAUUACACAUUUGUGGACUCCCCAGCAGGGCACACUGACCGCCGCGUGUACCGAAACAAUGUUGGUUGCUUUUUCUGGCAUGGCAUUUCAGCUCUGUGCCCUAACACGGUCGUGAGAUGGGGGCAGCAUUUUGGAAAAUAAGAAUACAGAGAUAUGCAGACAUCAUUACUGUGAGGGUUUGCUUGAAGAGCUGGAAAAUUAAAUGAGGAGAGUAUAAUGAGAGCUAAAAGAGUGAUUUAGGAGUGUAGGGGCAGCAAGAUGCCAAGGCUCUGGGUAGAUAAAUGAAGCAGUAAUUUGGAGUAAAUUGCAGCGUAACAGUUCUGUGCACACAUGCACUAUGGGAUUUUAAAAGUCACACAAGUUUAGCCCCUGUAAUACUCAAGGCUAAACAUGCUGCUGCUGCGGUAGGAUUGUGCACCUCUUACAGACUGCAGUACGUGUGUGGCUUUUUAAAGCUGGGACAGUUUGAGAUCUUCCACAGGUUAAUCUGUUUAUGGCUCCUGGAUCCUUGUGUGGGAACGGCAGUAAUGAAGUGAGGAGCUGAGAAGAGUCUUGGAGAGUGAAAAUCCAGAGAUGAGAGAAGCAGGAGGUGGGAGGUGUCUGUGAGCCUCUGAGGUGGUGGGGAGCAGUUCAGGGCAAUGGUGAGAAGCCAAAAGGCUCUGGUAAAGUGAUGGGGUCACUUUGCUCUGAGGCUAGGCAGGGGACCUUCUCCUCCAAGGUCUUCUCUGAUACCAAGGGAAGCUGCCAGUUUGGGACACAUGACCCCACGGCCUUCAGCAGCUGGGCUUCAUUAGAUCCCAGCCUGUGCCAGACAGUCCAGCUUCCCUCUGGGGGAGGGGUCUUCUGUGCUUAAUUUGAAGUUUCUCUCGUCAUUUGGAGAGCACUGUGGGAGGAAAGGAGUUGUAGUGUGUUGAGCUGACUCUGUUUCUUGCUAUUAAUAUCAGUGGCAUUGUAAUUUUCAUUGCUGUAAAGGUACCCAGAGCACAGGGCCAGGGUGGACCUGCUUGGAAUUAGAGGCAACAUUUUCUUUUCUUUUUUUUCUUUUCUUUUUUUUUUUUUUUUAAUAAAUACUAGAAUGAACAAAUGGGCUUUCCAGCAAGCAACCUUUGCUUCUGUUGCUAUGGUCUGUCCUCCUUGCAGGAAAGCACUCGCUUCAGAAAGACUCUGCAGCCCUGCAGAGUGGGAAGGGCUGUUCACUGAAAAGACAAAAAAAAGAAAAAAAAAGAAAAAAAAGUAAAAAGCAGCUGCUAGAAGAGCUAGACUAAUGUGGAGAUGAAAGCAUUUAUGCAGAGCAGAGGUGGAGAAUGCUGGAUCUGUGGAGUGGGCGGAAGUGUCCUAAUGAAUGAACAGUAUGAUGCUGGGCUGUCUCGAAUAACAAAAAGGGAAGGAGGGCGUUAGGUUUUGAUAGUACAGGCUCUGGAAAAAAUGAGAAGCUGAGAAGAGAAGGAAAUCAUGGCUAAUUUAAAACCGCCUUGGAGAAGCAGGUGGGAGGAAGACCUUGAACAUUCGCUAUACUACAAUUUGAAAGUAAGGAAAUGGAAAAACAAGAGUUGGAAGGCAGAAGAGGGGAGGGCUCUUCUCCCUCUCUCUCCAUAGUGAACAAUGCCAAUUCUUAUGGAGAACAUUAGGGAUAUUAUGAGAAAAUGCAGAGCUCCUGGAGUGAGCUGUCCUAAGGGAUGGGCUGAGGAUAGAGGAUGAAGCCAGUGGCUCUCAGAAAUACAAUGAUGACAGGAUGAGUCAGAGGCACUUGCACCAAAAUAUUUACACUUUGCCUGUAUUCUCAAAGCUCUCCUCAAGAAAUGAAGGUAACCCUUCUUUGUCAGGUUUCAGUCGUGCUAUCAGGUGGUGGGUUAGGGGGAUAGAUAGCAGCCAAAAGAGCUUUAUCAGCUCUUCCUGCUGUUACUUGUUUUGGACCAAGCUCCUGUUGACUUGGUUGGGUGUGCUCUGGGUGACUGAGCAGGGAGCUGGGAUGCCUCUCCCCAGUGAGCCUGUAUUUCCUUGAGCUGUAUGCUUAGCACGGCAGAGGUGAUGGCUCCAUUAUGCAAGUUGCAUGUGAGAGUGGCAUUGUGCCCUUCUUGAAAAGUUGCCUGGGCUCAUAUCUCACAUUUUAUACAAAGAGAGUGAGAGCUAUCCAGAAAAAAUAGGUGAAGCAGCCAAUACAAUCAGUUUCGAUAUAUUAUCCUCUUCUCAAAAAACCUGAACAUCUCUCCAAAAUAAUCAGAACUGGUAAAUAACGUCUACUCUGUGCAGGGGAAGUACGGCAUGAUGGGACUGCAGGCUUGUUCCAAGGAAAACACUUGGAAUGGUUUGGCCGGUAACAAUGAACUAAACUGAAGGAAACUGGAUGGUGAAGUUUCUAGAGACUAUGCUGGUGGGGAGGGGGGGCACAGGACCUGCUGGAGGUGUGUGGCUGGCCACAGAAUGUGGUGGUGGCCUGGGGGAGGACAGGCACAUGGUGCAUGUGCUGGGCUCACUGCCUCACCCCCUUCCAGACAGCAUCUCCCAGCCACCAAGUCCAGCUCAGGGCAUGCAAGUGGAGCACUGUGACCAUGGAGCAGAUUCAUGGUGGUCAGUCAGUCAAGUCCAAGACAUUGCAAAGAGGGGAAUUUUGAUGUUGCGAAUAUAAAUAUGUGUGUUGUUUUUUUCUUUGCUGUCUGCUAUGCCAAGUAUUGUCUGCUAGCAUGAGACAAAUACUCAGUAACACCAUUCAUGCUCCCAAUACCAGCACUGGAUGAAGAUGUAGCACUACGUAUGAGAGGACUUUCAAGCUGGGUGUAAAAGGGUGGUCUGAGGAAGUUCUGUAAGGUCCUGUGUUCUGCCUCUACCUUUCCUAAGCAGCAUCAGUAUCUAUGUUCCUAACCAGGCUCUCUCACUUAGCCAUCCCAUUCUCAAGGGCAUGUAGAUCUUUAGACAUCUCCAGGUGUCUGCUCAAUAGUAUUUGCAUUUCACAGCCUGGCAGAGGCUGGCCUGGCCCAAGACAGGACGACAGGAAGGCAAGCAGCUGGCUGGUGCAGCCUAAUAGAAAGAGAGUGGUGCUCAUGGAGGGCUGUUACAUCCCCUGCUGCAAUGCUGAAGCUCUGCAGCAGUCACACAGAGAGAUAUCACAAGAUGUCGGUUGAAAAGAGGAUGGUAUUUGGCCUGUACACUUUAUAUUGACUGUGCACACCUGGUGGCAGCAGGGGAGGGCUUCCACUGUGGCAGACAUUUUGUACGUGAAAAGAGUUCUAAUGAAGCUCUUCAAGCUUACAGUCAUUUUCUCAUGCUUUUCAUGGAGCAGGAGGUGAAAAACAUAGAUCUGAUUAACAUUGCUGAUUUGUUCUGAAAAUGACAUCUUUGCAAUGUGUUCUUGUCCUCGCAGGAGGAGACAUUUUAGCUCCUGUGUUUCUUUUCUCUAACUUUGCACAUGAAACACAUCUUUCCGUCCAGUAGACUGUCUACAGAGGCGUUUGUAACUGAUCUCCAGGUGCCCACUGCCACCCCCAGCCUCUGGUACUGCUGCUCUUGCCUAUUGCUGUGUGUGGAGCAGCCCUGCUCCCCCAAGCUGCCCCCAUGCAGGGCUCAGUGCUGCCUUAGGAUGCAUGAUGGGGAAGGUGGCACUUGAGAUGAGGUGUUUUUCCCCCAGGUUUUCUUCCUUCCACUUGUAGAGAGCCGGUCGAGGACACAGUGCUGAGAAACAAUGGCAUCGUGCCAGGGCGAGUGUCCCAGACUUGUUGCAGGGGGUGAGAAUCCUGAUGGAGGAGGGAGCAGCAUGGGAGGAACAGCCAAAACAUCAAAUGCUGAUGGCCUUAUUUUGGUCGAUAUCCCACUGAAGUCAAUGGGAUAUCACUCCAGGAAAAAACUGGAUAAGGAUCUCGGGACUUGGCAGCAGAGGAGGAUCUGUCUUCUAGCUGUUUACUCCCCUGUCCAAGCCUGCUGUUGGUGACUUCAUGAUCGUUUCCAGAGCCUGCCGUCAUGAUGUCAUACCCGGGGGACUCUGGAUUCAGGUGGGAAAUUAGCAGCAGGAGCAGAUGAAUUCUUUAAUAAACAAAGUUCCUGUUUUCAUGCAAAUGUCUCCAGAAAUAAAGAAUGAGAGGAGUGAGAAAUACAGAAAUUUAUGGUAUAGAAGCUACGCUGUUUGGAAACAGAUUUUUUAUGAGUUUUCCAAGAGGCGCCAGCUGCUCUUUAAUGUUUUCAUUUAAGAGUUUUAUGUAUGAAAGCUCUCGCUUGUGUAAACAGAGAGGCUGAAAAAGUUGUGGGGAUUGUUGUUAACGGUGGGCCUCGCAGGCUGAGACGAGACUGCAAGCGUUGGUACUUACACAGAGCAUAGCUUUUAACAUGGCUGGGUGACAUCCCCCUUGCUCUUGUGAUCGCCCCCAAGAGAUCCUACAUAUCUCCAUCCUCCAGAGGCCCCGGAGAAGGUGGUGCUCCAUCUUUCUGGGCUAAGGGGUCAGUCUUCUGCUUGCAGAUCCAUCCUCGCACCUCCUGUCGGGGAUCCCUCUCAGGAGCAGGCCCGGAGAGGGGCGGCCAUAUUGCCCAUCCCUCCGGCCUGUGGAGAAGCUCCCAUCGCCUUCGGUGCCCAGUACUGUGGUGCUCCCUCCCUUCACUGACAUCCAUCACCCUCCCUUAUUUAUUAAUCUGCUAUUUUAGGGAGUGCCUAUUGUGUACCACAAUUCCUGUAAUUGCAUUAUUUGGCUGGAGAGAGCACUGGGGCCCAUGUCACAAAUAGCUUCAUGUGCGAUGUGCUGGCGGGCUCCCUUUGUUUGGCAAUUAGCUCUCUGUGGGUGAAAUGCAUGGCACUGUAUUAAAAAAAAUAAAUAAAAAAGAGGUCACUUAAGCAAGAGCAGCAUGCACAAAGCAGGCAGCUGUGCACAGAGCAUUUCUCAACAUGGAGACCUGAGCAGUGAUCCCUGGUGCUGCUGCUCACCAUUUUGCUCUCAUGUUUUUAUGCAGCAUCUUUCUGUUUGCUCAUCUACAGGAAUACUCUGCCUCUAGCCUGUCUGUUUUUGAAAAGGUGACUGCUGAUGACAGCUAAGAUAACAAGAGGGUGGUAUUUUUUUUUUUCAUGAGCACGCCUUCGGUUCUAUUAAUAAAAUCCUGAAUUUGACUAGUCCUUCUGAGAACUCCCGGCCUCUCUCACCCAUUCAAAACUGUAUUUUUAAGCUGUUGUAGGUGGAUUGUCGACAAUGGUUGUUAUGCAAACUCUGAGCACUGGCUUCAGGAGCUUCUUGGAAACCUGCAAUGAGUAAUCUUCAUGUUUCUGCCAGGUCUACAAAGAGGGAGGGUGCAGUUUUGCCACAGGGCUGUUCAGAUUUUUUUCCUCCUCUCCCUUUCCAUAUGGGGAAGAAUAAAGUGAAGAAACAACAUUUUCAGAGAAGAAAGACUUGGAAAGAGUUUCUGUUUUCUGGGAGUCUGCUACAGCUGUUAAUUUGUGGAAAACCUCAGUGGAAAGUAAGCAAUAUGGCAGCAUCACUUUACACGAGAAUUCAGUGAUGGCCUUGCUCCAAGCUGUGGCUGAUUUAGGUUCUUGGCUUGCGCAGCCAAAGCUUCAUGUAGUGUCAUGCUUUUUUAUAGAUAAUGUUGAUACAGCUGUGGAAGGCUCUGAUGUUCUUUUUUUUUUUUUAACAUGGAAUUGUCGUCAUUCAAUCAAGCUUAAGUAUUGUGGAGCUGUGAUGUUGUUUGUCUUUGGUUGUUAGUUGUUGGCGGGUGAGUCCGAGACGGGCCGAGAUGUUGUUUGGGAAAAAGAAAAGACUCCCUCCCUUCCUCCCUGCCUUCUCCACAGAAAUGCACACAGACCAUAACUUCCAUCCAAAAAUGCAGGAAUGCUGAGAAAAAUUGGAGCUGGACUCGAACAUUGCGGGCUGGGCUCCCCCACUCCCCGGCCUCUCCAAAGCACGCACGCUCUUCUCUUCCUGUAGACUUUGUUCCUCUCCAGCAUUUGUCAUGCAUAGUUGGUGGCACAUCAAGAUUUUGAAUACUGUACUGAAUGCAACAACCUCUUUUUUUCUUGGAUGGACAUUUUGUUUGCGGGGAAUACAGCAUGGUGCUCAGCUGUCUGGACAGAAAUGAACAUUGAAUGAAAUGAAAUUUUCAGCUAUGUGACAGCUAUUAGAUCAGAGAUUAGUUUUCCAGUAGAAAUGUCCAAUUAUUUAAACCUCUCCGGUAGAUGAAAGAGCUUUUGACAAUCUGUUUUGCUGAAAAGCCCUGCAAUUCGUUUGGCAUAGAUUAGAUGACCUAUUAGAGAUGAGAAAAAGGGAAAAGGAUUUAUAAUUAAUGUCAGCCCAGCUGUUAACUUGGGGAGUAUUGCUGAGUUGUAGCACAAGACGUAUCUUUCAGCUAUUUCUGCAGUGACGAUUCAUGUGUAUAUUGCAACAUGUGUCAGCAGCCUUCUGUACAGCUGUGCUGGGUUGAAGGGACUAGAGUUCCCCAUUCCUAGGUAACGCAUUAGCAUGCACUGCUGCUUCUCCAAGGCCCUGCCUCCUUUUUGAAAGCAGGCUAUUAUGAAUGGGUAAGCCCCAUGUUUUUCCAGUGCUACCUUGUCACACAAUGACUGAUCCGCUCACCUCCGUAUCUCUGGGCUAUAUGACUUUGAGUGUAUCUUCCUUGCCAACUUGGCAAGGUAUCGUGUUUCUUUCCCUGAGGGUGACUUAGGGCAGAAUCCUUGAAUCCUUCAGAGUUUCCUGGAGCAUCUGGAAAGAAGAGGAAAACCAGAGAUGGGCCAGAAAGAGGCAGGCAGAGAAAGAUGAAAGAAUUUGGGGGUGGGAAGUACUUGCUUUUGGAAUAAUCUUCCUCCUAGAUGGCCUAAGGCAAAGUAAUUUACACUUUUUGGUAACGUGCAGGAUGGCCCAGCCCUUGCUCUUAUGAGUAAACAUUUCAAAGGUGCCUGCAGGGCCCUCUAUUUAUGUUUUUAUAAGCUACUUAGUCUCCUUUGAGUCUCGGGCUAUAUCCUCACUGCCAAUAGUGGAGUUAGCUCGAAGUGUAGUAGUGUCUUUUGGAGACACCUGAGCUAGACUGAAGCAGCUCAGCUGCGAGAAGUAGUUUACUCCACAGCAGCGCAUAUGUCAAAGCACUGUACCUGCCCGACGCAUUAUCUUGUCCUGUGCCAACUCUUGUUUCAAGUAAGGCUUUCACUGCAACCCUGCCUUCUCUGCAGCUGCCCACUGAAGCUCAAGGACAUAAAACAGUCACAGUAGGGUAUGGGGUUGGGAGCUGGAGUCACUUUGGUGCUUUCGAAAACGUUUUUUAUGGCUAAACCCACAUUCCCUGUUAGCACUGUUAAAUGCUUUCCUGUUUUCCUCUUCCCCUUGAACUCACACUGCUGUUCUAACCGAGAAUCGUGUUUUGUUUCUAAUGACAGAGCAAAGGUGCCAAAAUAUUUCAGUAGCUCCCCUAGGAACAUCUGCAACUUCUUUAGCUAUUUUCACAGCUGGCCAUAACUUUAUAUUAUUUCUGAAUGCUCAUAGCACCAAAUCUGGGAUCCUGGAGGAGAACAAUGGCUAAUUUCCUUGUAUUGGAAUUUAGAAUUUGCAAAACGAUGCACUAGCAACUUUGAAUAAAUGCUGAGAGACAGAGCUAUGAGGGAUUUUGUCAUUUGGAAGGCAAAGUUGCUAAACUCCAAACAGAGCUUAGACUGAUCUUCUGACACAGGGUAAAGCUGGGGUUGGGUGAGGUCAAAACCUGUAGAAAUUUCAACUGAUAUCACAACUACUGCUGAUAUUCAUGCUGCCCAUGUAGAAGAAGCUCCAUUGGAUCACUGCCUCCACUAUGGUUGCUGUCAUCUUUGAUGGAAAUAAGAAGAGUACAUUCUUACAGCUCUAAUGUGAGACUGAGUUCUUGGGACUGGAAUUAAGUCUGGGGGUUCGAACUUCCACUCAGUAAAAUUCCUGUGGACCUUUAAUUGCCGCUCUGAUUUAUUAGUUGUGCUUAGCUGGUCUAAAAGUGAAAACAAUCUCAAGGUAUUUAAUCAAUAUAUUGAUCUAUCGCUCAUAAUCUGUGCCCUCUUCACUCCCUAUACUGGUCUAGCAAAACAUGUUAAAAAUAUGCUGGAAAGGUGCCAGGUUAUUUAACCACUAAGAAAUGUAUUAGAACCAAAGAAGUUUGAGGCUUAUCACCCACAACAACUGCACCCUGACCCCCAGUGAGUAAUAGACUGUGCCCUGUUUCUUGAGGAGGCAGAUCUGCAGCUGUGAUAUGAACAUGGAUAAGAGUAGUGCUUGCAGGGUGAGGAACAGAGAAUGAAAUCAUAGAAUCAUUAAGGUUGGAAAAGAUCUGUAAGAUCACCUAGUCAAACCAUCAACCCAUCCCCACCAUGGCCACUAACCAUGUCACUCAGUGCCACAUCCACAUGUUUAUGGAACACCUCCGGGGAUGGCGACCCCACCACCUCCCAGGGCAACCUGUGCCAGUACCUCACUGCUCUUUCUGAGAAGGAAUGUUUCCUAAUAUGCAACCUGGACCUCCCCUGGCACAACUUGAGGCCAUUACCUCUCAUCCUAUCACUAGUUUACCCCGGUCGACUGCAUGCCUCCUCAGGAGGUCUCAUCUCAGCGUUGGUGUCUUUCGCCAACGGUAUGGGCAGGCUGCACAGAGCCACCAUCUGUAUCUGCUUCUGAAGAAGUCCUUGGUGGUCCACCUUAUGGGGAAGAUAGAGCUGCUGAGUGAAGGAUGCGGGUAGUGGAGGACAGUGUUACGUGCCUCUUCCUGAAGAUGGAAGACACUGCUUCCUGAAGACGCUGCUUCCCAAAUGCUGUAUCUGUGCAUGGCCCCCUGCCAGCAUGUUUGUGCACUGAUUAGAUCUGAAUGUGAGGUUUCCCACAGUUCAGGGGAAACAGUGAGGUGGAGCAGAGCUCAGGGCUCCUGACAUGCACUGCUAUCUCCAGCAGGCUUCUGCUGUGCCCACUGCUGGCAGAGCGCCCUGCAUCCCUCUCACCCGCCCUGCGCUCACAAAGUCAUAAUUCCUUCAGAUUCAGAGCGACUUCUUUCCAUAUACCUGUGAGUGGGAGGAAAAUAUGGCUCAUCACUUUUUUCCAUUCUCACGCCAAUUCUGGUGCACUAUAAGGGCCUGCCCUGUCAAACCCGGGGGGGAACAUAGCCAGCAAUUGCAACUCAAGCCAGCAUAUUGCUGCAUGUGACAAAAUCCAACAGAAAUCUUUAAAGCUCCCCAGAUUGCUUCCAUUGCUGCAGUUAAUUUUUCGUCCAUGACUUUUCUACGAAACCAGAUACAAUUAAAACAUGCAAUUCAAGAAGCCUUAGUGCCUUGACCUAAGUGCUAAGGUAUUGCAUGAGCUGCCUGCCAGAUACCACAGCCCCAGCCAUUGGAGACAGGUAAUUAGGUCACCGCUUGUGAACUUUUGACACAGGCAGACUUAUGGCCUGAUAACAAGCAUGCCUUCAAGCAAGUCAGGGUAAUUCGCAUAUCAUCAUGAAUCUAAGGAGCACUGAACUCUAAACAGUCAUUUAGAAGAAAAUAGCUUCAACACUUUGCAUUUUAAUCCUACCUGAAGGCACAGAGCUUGUCUAGGGGAUGUCUUGCUAGAGAUGCCUGAGGGAGCUGAGAGCCGCUGUGCUGUUGCAGUACCAUGCAUGGUCGCUCGCUUGGGUCUGCAUAGACAUGACUGCAGAGUCUGUUCUGACAGCCUCCACACGGGCAAAUGAUGCGAUCUGGCACUUUAGUGCCCUGGCUGGAGGAGUGAAUCUGUGUGCCACAGCAAGCUCUCAGAGGCAAUGCAGGACCGUGAUAGAAGAGCAUGGCUAAAAACCAGGCCUGGCACAACCACGGCUCCAGGUGUAUGCAAGAGCCUCUAUGGGAAGUGGGGAGGUGUCCUAAAUAUGUCUUCUGUCAUUCUUUGUAAAUGGAAAAUGCAGGGGCUGGUCACCUCACCUCCCUCUCUCCUUGCUUUAUUUGAGUAGUCUGCAUAUAUUUUCCUUGUCCUGCAUCUCAAGAUGCUUUCCCAUCGGCUCAUGCUGUUAUGUCACUCUCCAGUGGGUAAACUCAGUACGACCAGGAAACACUGAAGGAAAAUGAGAUGCAGAUGUGGUAACUGCAUUAAUAUUCCCCUUCAAUGCAGUUGCUGUUGGAAAGCCUGGACUGAUGCUUUGACUUUGUUCCUCCGCAGAGUGCGCUCACAUUAAAACGUCAAUCUUAUCUGCGUUUCAGUUCAGCAUGUCUGCCCCUGUGGAACAGAUUGUUCAAUGCACUUACAUCCUCCCCAGCCACCCUCCAAGGGGAUGACUCAGUCCGUAAUGCAGCACAUCUGGUUGGGACUACAGAGGACACUGGAACCUAGCAGGGGCUUGGAUCUGCCGCUCAGUUAUGUCAUGUCUGAGCAUCGCUUGUUUGUGUAUUUUCAGAAAACCCAGAUAAAAGAAUAUGAAAAGAGAAGAGUAAAAAGGGUUUUGUCCAUAAAUUAGUAGUGACCUCGAAGCUCCCAUGCUGGAAAAAUUGCUAUGUGAUGCAAUGCCAGUAAAAUGGAAGCCACUGUAACUUCACAGAAAAAGCAGUGAUAUUUCUGAUUAAUUGCUGUGCUUUUUGAGGUUUCAGUAAAAAUGGCUGCUGAUUAUUUCUGAAACUUACGAUGACUGUCUUAGUGCAUAACCCCUUCUUAACAUCAAUUUGGCAAACAGAAAAGGAAAUAUAUCAUACGAUAUUCCGCUUGUAGGGCCAAGUUCUGUCAUUUAUCUGCUUGCAAAGCCGCUGUUGACUGCCUUGGGAUUUCUCCUUGCAGAAUGAUGGUAGGACACGAUCCAGACCCAAUAUAAAUGUAACGUAUGAACCAGUAUAUCUUCAGAUGGAGAAAACGUGUGUGGAAUUUCCCUGUGCUGUCAUGUGUAUGCUUUAUAGGGCAACUACAUCCACAGUUAUUGAAAAGAAGCACAGAUGUCUGUGGUUAGACAUCAGUGACUUGUGGGAGGGAAAAGAGGGAAACUGGAAGACUUAGAAUUUGUGCUUGAUUGGUUUACUGAGAAAUACGGGGCAAGAGAAAGGAAAACAGUUCGGAAUAGAACUGUAAGGAGGGGAAAUUGGUAUUGCUGGCAACACUGAUGAAAUAUCAUGUCCUUGCCAGGAGAGUAUAAAUUAUGGGUUUCCUGAUAGAAAAUGUUGAUGAGGCUGGUAGGGGGGGAGUCCAAGGAAAAUGCAUGCAUGUGGAAACUGAUUUUUAUUUUGGCGAUGACUGAAAAUAGCCAUGAAGCCUGGAGCUUGUAAACCUAGGAAUUCCGAAAUUAAUAACUUUAAGAGUUAACAGUUGGAGAGUGACAGACCCAUGAGGACCAUUUGCUUUUUAGAUCUUGAGUAUCCUUGCCUAUUUUAAGUCCUCAGACUCACUGCUGGCCAUGUAACACCUUGUGAGGCAGUGGUUCUCUGAGAUAGCAGCCUUCAUUUAAGCAGCAGUCAUGGUGGCUGCAGGAAGUGCUGCUGGCAGUGGAAUGUUCGGUUACUGGCUCUGAUUUGGGUAGGUUUUGUGUUGCACACAUCUCUGCACUACCUAAUUUAUGCCUUCCUUAGGUGUGCUGUGUGCCACCUCUAUUUGUCCUGUACUAUUUUUUUCCAAUGCUCUCUCUGCAAGAAGAAAUGUAUGCAAUAUAGUACUGUGUUUCUGUAGUUUCCUGCUUAAAUCUAUACCAUGGGACACAUUGAAGCUCUGGAGGUUGCUUGUUGAAAGCCCUGCUCAGAGCAAGGCUAACUUCACAGCGAGACUAGAAUAUUCAGGGCCUUGCUCAGGCACAUUCUGAAUAUCUCCAAGGAUGGAGAUUUCAAAGUUCCCCUGGGCUGCAGGCCUGCUCCAUCAAGUAGGACGAUCUUUCUUUAUAACAUUCAGUGUUUGGUGCUGAUCCAGAUUUUAGGCCUUUACAACAGAGGAUGCUAUUUAUUGCCUUUGGGGCAGGCUUGGGCUGCUUGAGUAGAAGCAGAUGAAGGAAGGUUUUCUUGGCCUGACAGCAAACCUCAGUGUCAGCCCCAAGAAACUUGAUCUAAAGAGGUUUCCACAAAGGCGAGCCUCAGGCUACCUGGCAGAGAGAAAGAGGCUCCUGUGGGGAAUGGUUCAGAGCACCUCUGUGAAGCUCCUCAUUUGAAAUGCCCUCAAGAAGCACUGGUCUAUCUUCACUGAUAACAGAAGACUCAUAGGAAGAUUAGCUUCCCAUCUGCUUCCUCUGUGCGUGAACCACUAAGCCAUCUACAAUUAAGCCUGAAGUUUUUUUAGUUAUCUGGACAGAAAACUAUGGGGAUCUGGAAUGGCAAUAGGGGGAAAGGUGCCUUUUAAGAGAAUAAUUCAACAGCUUGGAUUUGUAUACAGUACUGAUACUGCUGAUGAGUCACCAAACCUUCAGCUGCUUCUACUGUGCUCGGGUUAUGACUGUUCUUUAACAGACUCUGGAAUUUGUUGAGAAAGGGUAGUAUUUGUGAUCAGCCACAUUUUUCAUUGCCUGAGAGCUGAAAAGUCUCUCUCUUAUAAAACAUCUCCCCAUCAAAAUUGCAAACCAAAUCUGCUGCCAUUGCACUUGGUGACUCCUCUUCAAAUAUGAAUGUGUUCAUGCCAAGAUCCAAAACAGUCCACGAAAUGCUUUCAGUGCAUCAAAGGAAAAGCUGGCUGGGGGUCAAUGCAGUAGCAGAGGAAACAGGUUCUAGGUAGGAAGGCUCCUAAGACCCUUUCCUCAGCACCGGAAGCUGCCAUGUGCAUGGAUGAACAGCAAAAAUAGCAGAUGGGAAAAGACAGAUAUUUAACGAUUGUUAAGACCAAGCACGACCGCAUCACUACUUCACUGCACCACAAAAAUAAAUAAAUAAAUAAAUAAAUAUUGAAAAGCAAUAGAAGUUCUCCCAGGGCUUUCCUGUUGCACGCAAGCACAAUAUUCUGCUCAGUGAUGCUGCGGUGUCGUUGGUCAAGGAGCUGAGUG